Molecule: ribosomal RNA, 1947 nt
Filed under: human gut metagenome
Description: bacterial LSU rRNA
Rfam family: Bacterial large subunit ribosomal RNA
Source: RNAcentral
UUAAGCGACUAAGCGUACACGGUGGAUGCCCUGGCAGUCAGAGGCGAUGAAGGACGUGCUAAUCUGCGAAAAGCGUCGGUAAGGUGAUAUGAACCGUUAUAACCGGCGAUGUCCGAAUGGGGAAACCCAGUGCAAUUCGUUGCACUAUCGUUAACUGAAUACAUAGGUUAACGAGGCGAACCGGGGGAACUGAAACAUCUAAGUACCCCGAGGAAAAGAAAUCAACCGAGAUUCCCCCAGUAGCGGCGAGCGAACGGGGAGCAGCCCAGAGUCUGAAUCAGCUUGUGUGUUAGUGGAACGGUCUGGAAAGUCCGACGGUACAGGGUGAUAGUCCCGUACACCAAAAUGCACAGGCUGUGAACUCGAAGAGUAGGGCGGGACACGUGGUAUCCUGUCUGAAUAUGGGGGGACCAUCCUCCAAGGCUAAAUACUCCUGACUGACCGAUAGUGAACCAGUACCGUGAGGGAAAGGCGAAAAGAACCCCGGCGAGGGGAGUGAAAAAGAACCUGAAACCGUGUACGUACAAGCAGUGGGAGCACCUUCGGGUGUGACUGCGUACCUUUUGUAUAAUGGGUCAGCGACUUAUAUUCUGUAGCAAGGUUAACCGUAUAGGGGAGCCGCAGGGAAACCGAGUCUUAACUGGGCGUUAAGUUGCAGGGUAUAGACCCGAAACCCGGUGAUCUAGCCAUGGGCAGGUUGAAGGUUGGGUAACACUAACUGGAGGACCGAACCGACUAAUGUUGAAAAAUUAGCGGAUGACUUGUGGCUGGGGGUGAAAGGCCAAUCAAACCGGGAGAUAGCUGGUUCUCCCCGAAAGCUAUUUAGGUAGCGCCUCGUGAAUUCAUCUUCGGGGGUAGAGCACUGUUUCGGCUAGGGGGUCAUCCCGACUUACCAACCCGAUGCAAACUACGAAUACCGAAGAAUGUUAUCACGGGAGACACACGGCGGGUGCUAACGUCCGUCGUGAAGAGGGAAACAACCCAGACCGCCAGCUAAGGUCCCAAAGUCAUGGUUAAGUGGGAAACGAUGUGGGAAGGCACAGACAGCCAGGAUGUUGGCUUAGAAGCAGCCAUCAUUUAAAGAAAGCGUAAUAGCUCACUGGUCGAGUCGGCCUGCGCGGAAGAUGUAACGGGGCUAAACCAUGCACCGAAGCUGCGGCAGCGACACUAUGUGUUGUUGGGUAGGGGAGCGUUCUGUAAGCCUGCGAAGGUGACCUGUGAGGGUUGCUGGAGGUAUCAGAAGUGCGAAUGCUGACAUAAGUAACGAUAAAGCGGGUGAAAAGCCCGCUCGCCGGAAGACCAAGGGUUCCUGUCCAACGUUAAUCGGGGCAGGGUGAGUCGACCCCUAAGGCGAGGCCGAAAGGCGUAGUCGAUGGGAAACAGGUUAAUAUUCCUGUACUUGGUGUUACUGCGAAGGGGGGACGGAGAAGGCUAUGUUAGCCGGGCGACGGUUGUCCCGGUUUAAGCAUGUAGGCUGGUUGUCCAGGCAAAUCCGGAUAAUCAAGGCUGAGGUGUGAUGACGAGGCACUACGGUGCUGAAGUAACAAAUGCCCUGCUUCCAGGAAAAGCCUCUAAGCAUCAGGUAACAUUAAAUCGUACCCCAAACCGACACAGGUGGUCAGGUAGAGAAUACCAAGGCGCUUGAGAGAACUCGGGUGAAGGAACUAGGCAAAAUGGUGCCGUAACUUCGGGAGAAGGCACGCUGGUGUGUAGGUGAAGUCCCUGCGGAUGGAGCUGAGACCAGUCGAAGAUACCAGCUGGCUGCAACUGUUUAUUAAAAACACAGCACUGUGCAAACACGAAAGUGGACGUAUACGGUGUGACGCCUGCCCGGUGCCGGAAGGUUAAUUGAUGGGGUUAUCCGUAAGGAGAAGCUCUUGAUCGAAGCCCCGGUAAACGGCGGCCGUAACUAUAACGGUCCUAAGGUAGCGAAAUUCCUUGUCGGGU